ACAUGCAAGUCGAGCGAACGGACGAGAAGCUUGCUUCUCUGAUGUUAGCGGCGGACGGGUGAGUAACACGUGGAUAACCUACCUAUAAGACUGGGAUAACUUCGGGAAACCGGAGCUAAUACCGGAUAAUAUUUUGAACCGCAUGGUUCAAAAGUGAAAGACGGUCUUGCUGUCACUUAUAGAUGGAUCCGCGCUGCAUUAGCUAGUUGGUAAGGUAACGGCUUACCAAGGCAACGAUGCAUAGCCGACCUGAGAGGGUGAUCGGCCACACUGGAACUGAGACACGGUCCAGACUCCUACGGGAGGCAGCAGUAGGGAAUCUUCCGCAAUGGGCGAAAGCCUGACGGAGCAACGCCGCGUGAGUGAUGAAGGUCUUCGGAUCGUAAAACUCUGUUAUUAGGGAAGAACAUAUGUGUAAGUAACUGUGCACAUCUUGACGGUACCUAAUCAGAAAGCCACGGCUAACUACGUGCCAGCAGCCGCGGUAAUACGUAGGUGGCAAGCGUUAUCCGGAAUUAUUGGGCGUAAAGCGCGCGUAGGCGGU
Molecule: ribosomal RNA, 544 nt
Filed under: Staphylococcus aureus
Lineage: Bacteria; Bacillati; Bacillota; Bacilli; Caryophanales; Staphylococcaceae
Description: bacterial SSU rRNA
Rfam family: Bacterial small subunit ribosomal RNA
Source: RNAcentral